RNAcentral lists this ribosomal RNA (253 nucleotides) under uncultured bacterium. Its description in RNAcentral is "partial 16S ribosomal RNA". It matches the Rfam family "Bacterial small subunit ribosomal RNA", at positions 524 to 776 of the family's 1533-position model. The record is from RNAcentral.
UACAGAGGUCUCAAGCGUUGUUCGGAUUCAUUGGGCGUAAAGGGUGCGUAGGCGGCGCGGUAAGUCGGGUGUGAAAUCUCGGAGCUUAACUCCGAAACUGCAUUCGAUACUGCCGUGCUUGAGGACUGGAGAGGAGACUGGAAUUUACGGUGUAGCGGUGAAAUGCGUAGAUAUCAGGAGGAACACCGGUGGCGAAGGCGCUCAUCUGGCCCAAUACUGACGCUGAGGCGCGAAAGCGUGGGGAGCGAACCGG